GUGAAUCAUCGAAUCUUUGAACGCAAAUUGCACUCUCCUCUGAGAGUAUGCCCGUUUCAGGUUCAGCCUCUAUAAAACCCACAUCGUUGCUGUUUCGCGGUGACGUUCGUCGGAAAUUGGGCCACCUUAAAUCCUUUUGGGUUUCAGCGACUUAACAUUUCCUUUUGGUUCCAUGAAUCGCUCUUA
This 186-nucleotide unclassified non-coding RNA is filed under the name Glomus sp. Its description in RNAcentral is "partial internal transcribed spacer 2". The stretch from base 1 to 65 matches the Rfam family "5.8S ribosomal RNA", at positions 84 to 154 of the family's 154-position model. The record is from RNAcentral. Lineage: Eukaryota; Fungi; Glomeromycota; Glomeromycetes; Glomerales; Glomeraceae.